CAGUGAACAUGGUGGGGAUACGUGAUAAAAGCACAUCUGAAACCAAGUGCUCCCGUUCAGAGGACGAGAAGCCCCUCUCCAACUGUGAGUGAUUAGCUGAAUGUGACUAGACAGAUAGAUUGAGAAGGGCUCUCAGACUCUACCUCCACAGGACUACUGAGCUCUCAUUUAACAGUAUCAUCCCCUUUGACUUUGAGUCAAAUAUCUAAAAGAAGCAUUUUGCCUCUCUGUCUAUUUUGGGCCACCUUAGAAUUAGAAACAAUGAGUAAGAAAACAGCAAUGAAGUAGAUGAAAGCUGAAACUCUGUGGCACGUAUCAAGACCCUAUAUCACAUCCUCCUCUCAAUUGCCAAGGCUCAGGGUUCAUGAUGGAAGAGAAGACAUAAAGAAUCUACAGGAAGCCAGCAGGGGUCCCUCUUCUGACCUCCACAUCUUCAUCUGAUCUGAUCUGAUCGGAAGAAGCACCUGACAAGAUGAUUUUCAG
Mus musculus (house mouse) is the source of this 483-nucleotide long non-coding RNA. RefSeq annotates it as predicted gene, 53695. The transcript is spliced from 4 exons. The record is from RefSeq and is a predicted model, not a curated record. NCBI's taxonomy places the organism in Eukaryota, Metazoa, Chordata, Mammalia, Rodentia, Muridae.